AUUUUUUCCUAAUUGGAUUUACAGGUAAGUUACAGGUAAAUUCAUACUUUUACAUUGACUGAUCACAGAGUAUAAAGACAAAUCAAGUGACAUUGCAAUUGGUAAAUGGCUAUCCCAAUGUUUCGGGUUACCAUUCCUUUCCCUAAAUGAAAUCGAUAACUGCUUCACUUUUGACAUUGUCUGACGCUCCUUCUGAUGACAAAUGUCAUAUAUUCUUAGACAACGUCCAAGUACACAUUCCAUAACGGUCAACCAAUUCGUGAUGGCGUCCAUAAAAUUAACGAAGGGAUGAUUUCAACUUCACCAUUUGGAACUCUUGGUUUAAUAGCUUCCUUGCGAGAAAAUGCGAACUCUAGAAAUGCCCCACCAGUACGUAUGCCAGACAAAGAAAAGAUGGCCUUCGUUAUCGACAAUUACGCCAAAUAUAGAAGAGACGAAAUCAUAAGAAAGGAAUAUAUUAGAUGUGUUGCCUAUACAUACUCGGCAAGAACAGAUUUAUGAUUUGAAUGUAUUCCGUUUUUAUGGAUUUGAAUGCGGUACAUAUAUUUUUAAU
RNAcentral lists this long non-coding RNA (553 nucleotides) under Mytilus galloprovincialis (Mediterranean mussel). Lineage: Eukaryota; Metazoa; Mollusca; Bivalvia; Mytilida; Mytilidae. The record is from RNAcentral.